Molecule: ribosomal RNA, 301 nt
Filed under: uncultured bacterium
Lineage: Bacteria
Description: partial 16S ribosomal RNA
Rfam family: Bacterial small subunit ribosomal RNA
Source: RNAcentral
CAGUCGCCGCGGUAAUACGUAGGGUGCGAGCGUUAAUCGGAAUUACUGGGCGUAAAGCGUGCGCAGGCGGUUCGUUAAGACAGAUGUGAAAGCCCCCGGCUCAACCGGGGAGGGUCAUUGGAAACUGGGAAACUUGAGUGCAGAAGAGGAGAGUGGAAUUCCACGUGUAGCGGUGAAAUGCGUAGAGAUGUGGAGGAACACCAGUGGCGAAGGCGACUCUCUGGUCUGUAACUGACGCUGAGGAGCGAAAGCGUGGGGAGCGAACAGGAUUAGAUACCCCGGUAGUCCCUGUCUCUUAUAC